This 72-nucleotide transfer RNA is filed under the name Camelus bactrianus (Bactrian camel). It matches the Rfam family "tRNA". From Rfam's summary of the family: Transfer RNA (tRNA) molecules are approximately 80 nucleotides in length. Their secondary structure includes four short double-helical elements and three loops (D, anti-codon, and T loops). Lineage: Eukaryota; Metazoa; Chordata; Mammalia; Artiodactyla; Camelidae. The record is from Rfam by way of RNAcentral. RNAcentral also lists the same sequence under 1 other name.
GAGAGUAUAGCUCAGUGGUAGAGUAUGUGCUUAGCACGCACGAGGUCCUAGGUUCAACCCCCAGCACCUCCA